RNAcentral lists this non-coding RNA (127 nucleotides) under Bacillus methanolicus. RNAcentral describes it as "SAM-I sequence". It matches the Rfam family "SAM riboswitch aptamer (S box leader)". Rfam says of the family: The SAM riboswitch is found upstream of a number of genes which code for proteins involved in methionine or cysteine biosynthesis in Gram-positive bacteria. RNAcentral also lists the same sequence under 1 other name. Lineage: Bacteria; Bacillati; Bacillota; Bacilli; Caryophanales; Bacillaceae. The record is from RNAcentral.
CUCUUAUCCCGAGAUGGUGGAGGGACAGGCCCUAUGAAACCCAGCAACCUGCUCCAUGAUGAAAAUAUAGACAUCUUGAGCAAAGGUGCUAACCUGAGGCAAGGAUAAGGUCCUUGAACGAUAAGAG